ACUGGGAGAGGACGUUCAAGACUGUCGGACUAGAGGACGGUAGAGGAAGGUAGAAUUCCCGGUGUAGUGGUGAAAUGCGUAGAUAUCGGGAGGAAUACCAGUGGCGAAGGCGGCCUUCUGGGCCGUUCCUGACGCUCAGACGCGAAAGCUAGGGGAGCAAACGGGAUUAGAAACCCCGGUAGUCCUAGCCGUAAACGAUGUAGACUUGGUGUCGGUGGGGUAAAAGCCAGCGGUGCCGAAGCAAACGCGAUAAGUCUACCGCCUGGGGACUACGGCCGCAAGGUUAAAACUCAAAGGAAUUGACGGGGGCCCGCACAAGCAGCGGAGCGUGUGGUUUAAUUCGAUGCUACACGAAAAACCUUACCCAGGUUUGACAUGCAAGUGGUAGUGAAGCGAAAGCGGAACGACCCUUCG
This 414-nucleotide ribosomal RNA is filed under the name uncultured bacterium. RNAcentral's name for it is "bacterial SSU rRNA". It matches the Rfam family "Bacterial small subunit ribosomal RNA", at positions 612 to 1022 of the family's 1533-position model. The record is from RNAcentral.